GAUCCUGGCUCAGAUUGAACGCUGGCGGCAGGCUUAACACAUGCAAGUCGAACGGUAACAUAAAGAAGCUUGCUUCUUUGAUGACGAGUGGCGGACGGGUGAGUAAUGCUUGGGAAUCUGGCUUAUGGAGGGGGAUAACUACGGGAAACUGUAGCUAAUACCGCGUAAUAUCGAAAGAUUAAAGUGUGGGACCUUCGGGCCACAUGCCAUAGGAUGAGCCCAAGUGGGAUUAGGUAGUUGGUGAGGUAAGGG
Molecule: ribosomal RNA, 252 nt
Filed under: uncultured bacterium
Lineage: Bacteria
Description: partial 16S ribosomal RNA
Rfam family: Bacterial small subunit ribosomal RNA
Source: RNAcentral